Molecule: ribosomal RNA, 253 nt
Filed under: uncultured bacterium
Lineage: Bacteria
Description: partial 16S ribosomal RNA
Rfam family: Bacterial small subunit ribosomal RNA
Source: RNAcentral
UACGAGGGGGGCAAGCGUUGUUCGGAAUUAUUGGGCGUAAAGAGCUCGUAGGCGGUUUGUUGCGUCGGCUGUGAAAUCCCGAGGCUCAACCUCGGGUCUGCAGUCGAUACGAGCAAACUAGAGUGUUGCAGGGGAGACUGGAAUUCCUGGUGUAGCGGUGAAAUGCGCAGAUAUCAGGAGGAACACCGGUGGCGAAGGCGGGUCUCUGGGCAACAACUGACGCUGAGGAGCGAAAGCGUGGGGAGCGAACAGG